RNAcentral lists this ribosomal RNA (253 nucleotides) under uncultured bacterium. RNAcentral's name for it is "partial 16S ribosomal RNA". It matches the Rfam family "Archaeal small subunit ribosomal RNA", at positions 474 to 727 of the family's 1478-position model. The record is from RNAcentral.
UACCAGCACCCCGAGUGGUCGGGACGAUUAUUGGGCCUAAAGCAUCCGUAGCCGGUCAUGCAAGUCCUCCGUUAAAUCCACCUGCUUAACAGGUGGGCUGCGGAGGAUACUACAAGGCUAGGAGGCGGAAGAGGCAAGCGGUACUCAGUGGGUAGGGGUAAAAUCCUCUGAUCCAUUGAAGACCACCAGUGGCGAAGGCGGCUUGCCAAUACGCGCUCGACGGUGAGGGAUGAAAGCUGGGGGAGCAAACCGG